CAGCAGCCGCGGUAAACGGAGGGUGCAAGCGUUAAUCGGAAUUACUGGGCGUAAAGCGCACGCAGGCGGUUUGUUAAGUCAGAUGUGAAAUCCCCGAGCUUAACUUGGGAACUGCAUUUGAAACUGGCAAGCUAGAGUCUUGUAGAGGGGGGUAGAAUUCCAGGUGUAGCGGUGAAAUGCGUAGAGAUCUGGAGGAAUACCGGUGGCGAAGGCGGCCCCCUGGACAAAGACUGACGCUCAGGUGCGGAAGCGUGGGGAGCAAACAGGAUUAGAUACCCCAGUAGUCCCUGUCUCUUAUACA
This 301-nucleotide ribosomal RNA is filed under the name uncultured bacterium. Its description in RNAcentral is "partial 16S ribosomal RNA". It matches the Rfam family "Bacterial small subunit ribosomal RNA", at positions 509 to 808 of the family's 1533-position model. The record is from RNAcentral.